GGGACUUUAGUAUCAAGGUUAAUACGUAUGACUUUUAAUCAUUAUAAUAUUGGUUCGAAUCCAUUAGGUCCUA
Sodiomyces alkalinus F11 is the source of this 73-nucleotide non-coding RNA. Lineage: Eukaryota; Fungi; Ascomycota; Sordariomycetes; Glomerellales; Plectosphaerellaceae. The record is from the annotation of a RefSeq genome assembly.